ACUUCUUAUGUUCCGUAAAUAAGUGAAUGGUUGGGUGUCCGCACUAAGUUCGGCAUCAAUAUGGUGACCUCCCGGGAGCGGAGGACCGCCAGGUUGCCUAAGGAGCGGCGAACUGGCCCAGGUCGGAAACGGAGCAGGUCAAAACUCCCGUGCUGAUCAGAACUCGUACACCUUCUACCAAGCACUU
Unclassified non-coding RNA from Ursus americanus (American black bear), 187 nucleotides. It matches the Rfam family "Metazoan signal recognition particle RNA". From Rfam's summary of the family: The signal recognition particle (SRP) is a universally conserved ribonucleoprotein. It is involved in the co-translational targeting of proteins to membranes. The record is from Ensembl. NCBI's taxonomy places the organism in Eukaryota, Metazoa, Chordata, Mammalia, Carnivora, Ursidae.